RNAcentral lists this ribosomal RNA (2787 nucleotides) under Escherichia coli. Its description in RNAcentral is "bacterial LSU rRNA". It matches the Rfam family "Bacterial large subunit ribosomal RNA". The record is from RNAcentral. Lineage: Bacteria; Pseudomonadati; Pseudomonadota; Gammaproteobacteria; Enterobacterales; Enterobacteriaceae.
AGCGUACACGGUGGAUGCCCUGGCAGUCAGAGGCGAUGAAGGACGUGCUAAUCUGCGAUAAGCGUCGGUAAGGUGAUAUGAACCGUUAUAACCGGCGAUUUCCGAAUGGGGAAACCCAGUGUGAUUCGUCACACUAUCAUUAACUGAAUCCAUAGGUUAAUGAGGCGAACCGGGGGAACUGAAACAUCUAAGUACCCCGAGGAAAAGAAAUCAACCGAGAUUCCCCCAGUAGCGGCGAGCGAACGGGGAGCAGCCCAGAGCCUGAAUCAGUGUGUGUGUUAGUGGAAGCGUCUGGAAAGGCGCGCGAUACAGGGUGACAGCCCCGUACACAAAAAUGCACAUACUGUGAGCUCGAUGAGUAGGGCGGGACACGUGGUAUCCUGUCUGAAUAUGGGGGGACCAUCCUCCAAGGCUAAAUACUCCUGACUGACCGAUAGUGAACCAGUACCGUGAGGGAAAGGCGAAAAGAACCCCGGCGAGGGGAGUGAAAAAGAACCUGAAACCGUGUACGUACAAGCAGUGGGAGCACGCUUAGGCGUGUGACUGCGUACCUUUUGUAUAAUGGGUCAGCGACUUAUAUUCUGUAGCAAGGUUAACCGAAUAGGGGAGCCGAAGGGAAACCGAGUCUUAACUGGGCGUUAAGUUGCAGGGUAUAGACCCGAAACCCGGUGAUCUAGCCAUGGGCAGGUUGAAGGUUGGGUAACACUAACUGGAGGACCGAACCGACUAAUGUUGAAAAAUUAGCGGAUGACUUGUGGCUGGGGGUGAAAGGCCAAUCAAACCGGGAGAUAGCUGGUUCUCCCCGAAAGCUAUUUAGGUAGCGCCUCGUGAAUUCAUCUCCGGGGGUAGAGCACUGUUUCGGCAAGGGGGUCAUCCCGACUUACCAACCCGAUGCAAACUGCGAAUACCGGAGAAUGUUAUCACGGGAGACACACGGCGGGUGCUAACGUCCGUCGUGAAGAGGGAAACAACCCAGACCGCCAGCUAAGGUCCCAAAGUCAUGGUUAAGUGGGAAACGAUGUGGGAAGGCCCAGACAGCCAGGAUGUUGGCUUAGAAGCAGCCAUCAUUUAAAGAAAGCGUAAUAGCUCACUGGUCGAGUCGGCCUGCGCGGAAGAUGUAACGGGGCUAAACCAUGCACCGAAGCUGCGGCAGCGACGCUUAUGCGUUGUUGGGUAGGGGAGCGUUCUGUAAGCCUGUGAAGGUGUACUGUGAGGUAUGCUGGAGGUAUCAGAAGUGCGAAUGCUGACAUAAGUAACGAUAAAGCGGGUGAAAAGCCCGCUCGCCGGAAGACCAAGGGUUCCUGUCCAACGUUAAUCGGGGCAGGGUGAGUCGACCCCUAAGGCGAGGCCGAAAGGCGUAGUCGAUGGGAAACAGGUUAAUAUUCCUGUACUUGGUGUUACUGCGAAGGGGGGACGGAGAAGGCUAUGUUGGCCGGGCGACGGUUGUCCCGGUUUAAGCGUGUAGGCUGGUUUUCCAGGCAAAUCCGGAAAAUCAAGGCUGAGGCGUGAUGACGAGGCACUACGGUGCUGAAGCAACAAAUGCCCUGCUUCCAGGAAAAGCCUCUAAGCAUCAGGUAACAUCAAAUCGUACCCCAAACCGACACAGGUGGUCAGGUAGAGAAUACCAAGGCGCUUGAGAGAACUCGGGUGAAGGAACUAGGCAAAAUGGUGCCGUAACUUCGGGAGAAGGCACGCUGAUAUGUAGGUGAAGUCCCUCGCGGAUGGAGCUGAAAUCAGUCGAAGAUACCAGCUGGCUGCAACUGUUUAUUAAAAACACAGCACUGUGCAAACACGAAAGUGGACGUAUACGGUGUGACGCCUGCCCGGUGCCGGAAGGUUAAUUGAUGGGGUCAGCGCAAGCGAAGCUCUUGAUCGAAGCCCCGGUAAACGGCGGCCGUAACUAUAACGGUCCUAAGGUAGCGAAAUUCCUUGUCGGGUAAGUUCCGACCUGCACGAAUGGCGUAAUGAUGGCCAGGCUGUCUCCACCCGAGACUCAGUGAAAUUGAACUCGCUGUGAAGAUGCAGUGUACCCGCGGCAAGACGGAAAGACCCCGUGAACCUUUACUAUAGCUUGACACUGAACAUUGAGCCUUGAUGUGUAGGAUAGGUGGGAGGCUUUGAAGUGUGGACGCCAGUCUGCAUGGAGCCGACCUUGAAAUACCACCCUUUAAUGUUUGAUGUUCUAACGUUGACCCGUAAUCCGGGUUGCGGACAGUGUCUGGUGGGUAGUUUGACUGGGGCGGUCUCCUCCUAAAGAGUAACGGAGGAGCACGAAGGUUGGCUAAUCCUGGUCGGACAUCAGGAGGUUAGUGCAAUGGCAUAAGCCAGCUUGACUGCGAGCGUGACGGCGCGAGCAGGUGCGAAAGCAGGUCAUAGUGAUCCGGUGGUUCUGAAUGGAAGGGCCAUCGCUCAACGGAUAAAAGGUACUCCGGGGAUAACAGGCUGAUACCGCCCAAGAGUUCAUAUCGACGGCGGUGUUUGGCACCUCGAUGUCGGCUCAUCACAUCCUGGGGCUGAAGUAGGUCCCAAGGGUAUGGCUGUUCGCCAUUUAAAGUGGUACGCGAGCUGGGUUUAGAACGUCGUGAGACAGUUCGGUCCCUAUCUGCCGUGGGCGCUGGAGAACUGAGGGGGGCUGCUCCUAGUACGAGAGGACCGGAGUGGACGCAUCACUGGUGUUCGGGUUGUCAUGCCAAUGGCACUGCCCGGUAGCUAAAUGCGGAAGAGAUAAGUGCUGAAAGCAUCUAAGCACGAAACUUGCCCCGAGAUGAGUUCUCCCUGACUCCUUGA